This 181-nucleotide unclassified non-coding RNA is filed under the name Olpidium brassicae. RNAcentral describes it as "partial internal transcribed spacer region". The stretch from base 1 to 46 matches the Rfam family "Eukaryotic small subunit ribosomal RNA", at positions 1786 to 1831 of the family's 1831-position model. Lineage: Eukaryota; Fungi; Olpidiomycota; Olpidiomycetes; Olpidiales; Olpidiaceae. The record is from RNAcentral.
AAGUCGUAACAAGGUUUCCGUAGGUGAACCUGCGGAAGGAUCAUUAAUAAAUGCUUCAUUGCAUCCACCUUUUGUGCACUGUAAAAUUUUUUCACUUAAGCUUUGUCUGAUUGAUAUUUGUACCGAAAGGAACAGGAAUUUUAAUCUAAUACAACUUUUAACAAUGGAUCUCUUGGCUCUC